CGCUCUCUGGUCUCCCGAUUUUGCUUCAUGAAUUUUUAAGAGCUAGAUGGAGUUGGAUGCAGUCUUGUAAAAUCUAGGUGAAGUAGGGUUUGGCUCUUCAGAUGGCUAAGGCGAGGCAAGGUGGAAGAAGCAGCUGCUUCUUGGAUAGAAGGAGUUGGAUGCAGUCAUGUAAAAUCUAGGUGAAGUAGGGUUUGGCUCUUCAGAUGGCUAAGGCGAGGCAAGGUGGAAGAAGCAGCUGCUUCUUGGAUAGAAGGAGUUGGAUGCAGUCAUGUAAAAUCUAGGUGAAGUAGGGUUUGGCUCUUCAGAUGGCUAAGGCGAGG
This 320-nucleotide long non-coding RNA is filed under the name Solanum tuberosum (potato). Its description in RNAcentral is "long non-coding RNA (STUB_LNC002663)". The record is from RNAcentral. Lineage: Eukaryota; Viridiplantae; Streptophyta; Magnoliopsida; Solanales; Solanaceae.